RNAcentral lists this unclassified non-coding RNA (262 nucleotides) under plant metagenome. RNAcentral describes it as "partial contains small subunit ribosomal RNA, internal transcribed spacer 1, and 5.8S ribosomal RNA". The record is from RNAcentral.
UCUCCGUUGGUGAACCAGCGGAGGGAUCAUUACCGAGUUUACAACUCCGAAACCCCUAUGUGAACGUUACCAAACUGUUGACUCGGCGGGGAAUUCAUGCUCCGUGCGCGUCUCCGCCCCGGUCCAAGGCGCCCGCCGGAGGACCAACCAAAACGCUUUUGUAUGUCCCACGCGGACUUUUAUAAUUGUUAACCAUCUCGGCGCCCCUAGCUGUCGUUUCGAAAAUGAAUCAAAACUUUCAACAACGGAUCUCUUGGUUCUG